GACGAACGCUGGCGGCGUGCCUAAUACAUGCAAGUCGAACGAAGCUGUUUUAACUGGUGCUUGCACCGACUUAAACAACUGAGUGGCGAGCGGGUGAGUAACACGUGGGUAACCUGCCCCAAAGCGGGGGAUAACAUUUGGAAACAGAUGCUAAUACCGCAUAACCACAGAAACCACAUGGUUUCUGUGUCAAAGAUGGUUUCGGCUAUCACUUUGGGAUGGACCCGCGGCGUAUUAGCUAGUUGGUAAGGUAAUGGCUGACCAAGGCAAUGAGACGUAGCCGAACUGAGAGGUUGAUCGGCCACACUGGGACUGAGACACGGCCCAAACUCCUACGGGAGGCAGCAGUAGGGAAUCUUCCACAAUGGACGAAAGUCUGAUGGAGCAACGCCGCGUGAGUGAAGAAGGUUUUCGGAUCGUAAAACUCUGUUGUCAGAGAAGAACGUGUGCGAGAGUAACUGUUCGUGCAGUGACGGUAUCUGGCCAGAAAGCCACGGCUAACUACGUGCCAGCAGCCGCAGUAA
RNAcentral lists this ribosomal RNA (524 nucleotides) under uncultured bacterium. RNAcentral describes it as "partial 16S ribosomal RNA". It matches the Rfam family "Bacterial small subunit ribosomal RNA", at positions 28 to 523 of the family's 1533-position model. The record is from RNAcentral.